ACUCCUACGGGAGGCAGCAGUGGGGAAUAUUGCACAAUGGGCGCAAGCCUGAUGCAGCCAUGCCGCGUGUAUGAAGAAGGCCUUCGGGUUGUAAGUACUUUCAGCAGUGAGGAAGGUGGGUAUGUUAAUAGCAUAUUCAUUUUGACGUUUAGCUGCAGAAGAAGCACCGGCUAACUCCGUGCCAGCAGCCGCGGUAAUACGGAGGGUGCGAGCGUUAAUCGGAAUUACUGGGCGUAAAGCGCAUGCAGGUGGUUUGUUAAGUCAGAUGUGAAAGCCCGGGGCUCAACCUCGGAAUUGCAUUUGAAACUGGCAAACUAGAGUACUGUAGAGGGGGUAGAAUUUCAGGUGUAG
This 351-nucleotide ribosomal RNA is filed under the name uncultured bacterium. RNAcentral's name for it is "bacterial SSU rRNA". It matches the Rfam family "Bacterial small subunit ribosomal RNA", at positions 335 to 678 of the family's 1533-position model. The record is from RNAcentral.